This 1236-nucleotide ribosomal RNA is filed under the name Bifidobacterium longum. Its description in RNAcentral is "bacterial SSU rRNA". It matches the Rfam family "Bacterial small subunit ribosomal RNA", at positions 76 to 1324 of the family's 1533-position model. Lineage: Bacteria; Bacillati; Actinomycetota; Actinomycetes; Bifidobacteriales; Bifidobacteriaceae. The record is from RNAcentral.
GGCUUUGCUUGGUGGUGAGAGUGGCGAACGGGUGAGUAAUGCGUGACCGACCUGCCCCAUACACCGGAAUAGCUCCUGGAAACGGGUGGUAAUGCCGGAUGCUCCAGUUGAUCGCAUGGUCUUCUGGGAAAGCUUUCGCGGUAUGGGAUGGGGUCGCGUCCUAUCAGCUUGACGGCGGGGUAACGGCCCACCGUGGCUUCGACGGGUAGCCGGCCUGAGAGGGCGACCGGCCACAUUGGGACUGAGAUACGGCCCAGACUCCUACGGGAGGCAGCAGUGGGGAAUAUUGCACAAUGGGCGCAAGCCUGAUGCAGCGACGCCGCGUGAGGGAUGGAGGCCUUCGGGUUGUAAACCUCUUUUAUCGGGGAGCAAGCGAGAGUGAGUUUACCCGUUGAAUAAGCACCGGCUAACUACGUGCCAGCAGCCGCGGUAAUACGUAGGGUGCAAGCGUUAUCCGGAAUUAUUGGGCGUAAAGGGCUCGUAGGCGGUUCGUCGCGUCCGGUGUGAAAGUCCAUCGCUUAACGGUGGAUCCGCGCCGGGUACGGGCGGGCUUGAGUGCGGUAGGGGAGACUUGGAAUUCCCGGUGUAACGGUGGAAUGUGUAGAUAUCGGGAAGAACACCAAUGGCGAAGGCAGGUCUCUGGGCCGUUACUGACGCUGAGGAGCGAAAGCGUGGGGAGCGAACAGGAUUAGAUACCCUGGUAGUCCACGCCGUAAACGGUGGAUGCUGGAUGUGGGGCCCGUUCCACGGGUUCCGUGUCGGAGCUAACGCGUUAAGCAUCCCGCCUGGGGAGUACGGCCGCAAGGCUAAAACUCAAAGAAAUUGACGGGGGCCCGCACAAGCGGCGGAGCAUGCGGAUUAAUUCGAUGCAACGCGAAGAACCUUACCUGGGCUUGACAUGUUCCCGACGGUCGUAGAGAUGCGGCUUCCCUUCGGGGCGGGUUCACAGGUGGUGCAUGGUCGUCGUCAGCUCGUGUCGUGAGAUGUUGGGUUAAGUCCCGCAACGAGCGCAACCCUCGCCCCGUGUUGCCAGCGGAUUAUGCCGGGAACUCACGGGGGACCGCCGGGGUUAACUCGGAGGAAGGUGGGGAUGACGUCAGAUCAUCAUGCCCCUUACGUCCAGGGCUUCACGCAUGCUACAAUGGCCGGUACAACGGGAUGCGACGCGGCGACGCGGAGCGGAUCCCUGAAAACCGGUCUCAGUUCGGAUCGCAGUCUGCAACUCGACUGCGUGAA